Molecule: non-coding RNA, 45 nt
Filed under: Schistosoma margrebowiei
Lineage: Eukaryota; Metazoa; Platyhelminthes; Trematoda; Strigeidida; Schistosomatidae
Source: RNAcentral
AUCCAGCUGACGAGUUACAAAUAGGACGAAACGCGCGUCCUGGGU